RNAcentral lists this ribosomal RNA (294 nucleotides) under uncultured bacterium. RNAcentral describes it as "partial 16S ribosomal RNA". It matches the Rfam family "Bacterial small subunit ribosomal RNA", at positions 775 to 1067 of the family's 1533-position model. The record is from RNAcentral.
GGAUUAGAUACCCUGGUAGUCCACGCCGUAAACGAUGAUAACUAACUGUUAGGUGUUUUUUAGCAUUUAGUAGUGAAGCAAACGCGUUAAGUUAUCCGCCUGGGGAGUACGGUCGCAAGAUUAAAACUCAAAGGAAUUGACGGGGGCCCGCACAAGCGGUGGAGCAUGUGGCUUAAUUCGAUGCAACGCGAAAAACCUUACCUACCCUUGACAUCCUUGGAAGGUUCUAGAGAUAGAGCUGUGCCUUCGGGAACCAAGAGACAGGUGCUGCAUGGCUGUCGUCAGCUCGUGCCG